Molecule: ribosomal RNA, 500 nt
Filed under: uncultured bacterium
Lineage: Bacteria
Description: partial 16S ribosomal RNA
Rfam family: Bacterial small subunit ribosomal RNA
Source: RNAcentral
AUUGAACGCUGGCGGCAUGCCUUACACAUGCAAGUCGAACGGCAGCGGGGACUUCGGUCCGCCGGCGAGUGGCGAACGGGUGAGUAAUGUAUCGGAACGUACCAUUGAGUGGGGGAUAACGUAGCGAAAGUUACGCUAAUACCGCAUAUUCCCUCCGGAGGAAAGCAGGGGACCGCAAGGCCUUGCGCUCUUUGAGCGGCCGAUAUCAGAUUAGCUAGUUGGUGGGGUAAAAGCUCACCAAGGCGACGAUCUGUAGCGGGUCUGGGAGGAUGAUCCGCCACACUGGAACUGAGACACGGUCCAGACUCCUACGGGAGGCAGCAGUGGGGAAUUUUGGACAAUGGGGGCAACCCUGAUCCAGCCAUGCCGCGUGAGUGAAGAAGGCCCUCGGGUUGUAAAGCUCUUUCGGCCGGGAAAAAAUCGCAUGGGUUAAUACCCUGUGUGGAUGAUGGUACCGGAAUAAGAAGCACCGGCUAACUACGUGCCAGCCGCCGCUGUAA